This 801-nucleotide ribosomal RNA is filed under the name uncultured marine bacterium. RNAcentral's name for it is "bacterial SSU rRNA". It matches the Rfam family "Bacterial small subunit ribosomal RNA", at positions 50 to 883 of the family's 1533-position model. The record is from RNAcentral.
UAAGCAUGGCAGUCGAACGAGAAGCGGGCUUCGGCCCGUGGACAGUGGCGGAAGGGCGAGUAACGCGAUCGAACGUACCCCGAGGUGGAGGACAGCUGUGGGAAACCGCAGGUAAUACUCCAUGAGCUCUACGGAGGAAAGGCUUCGGCCGCCUUGGGAGCGGCGAUCGUCCUAUCAGGUUGUUGGUGAGGUAACGGCUCACCAAGCCUAAGACGGGUAGCGGGUGUGAGAGCAUGACCCGCCGCAUCGGGACUGAGACACUGCCCGGACUCCUACGGGAGGCUGCAGCAACGAAUAUUCCGCAAUGCGCGAAAGCGUGACGGAGCAAUGCCGCGUGCAGGAUGAAGCGGCUUCGCCGUGUUAACUGCUGUCAGGGUAUAGGAAUACUGACCAUACCCAAAGGAAGGGCCGGCUAACCUCGUGCCAGCAGCCGCGGUAAGACGAGGGGCCCAAGCGUUAAUCGGAAUCACUGGGCUUAAAGGGUGCGUAGGCGGACCUGUAAGCGUUCUGUGAAAGCCCUCGGCUCAACCGAGGAACUGCGGAGCGAACUACAGGUCUUGAGGUAGGUAGAGGUCGUCGGAACGCUAGGUGGAGCGGUGAAAUGCGUAGAGAUCUAGCGGAACGCCAAAGGAGUAAUCAGGCGACUGGGCCUUACCUGACGCUGAGGCACGAAAGCGUGGGGAGCGGACGGGAUUAGAUACCCCGGUAGUCCACGCCCUAGACGAUGUGCACUAGAUUGGAGCGGCUCUGACGUCGUUUCAGUCGUAGAGAAAUCAUUAAGUGCACCGCCUGGGGGAGUAC